UUUAUCAAAAUAAGGAUUUAUUAUUAUUAUAAUUAUGUAUAAAAGGUAAGGCAAAUUCAUUUUGUAUAUAUGUUUGGGAAAGAGUACUUUACAUUAUUACUAGUAUCGUUGAUACUGUACAUAAGCUAACCCUGUAUAAAGUCAGGAUAUGCAUAAGUUAACUAGAUUCUUGCCGAUCUUCUGAGUGGCUAUAGGGCAAAAGAAUCAAUCUGUUUUAAAUUUGAAAUAUUCAUUUUUCCUGACAAACUACGUUAUUGUAAAGAAAAACGAGUAGACUCUUAAUUUCACUUUCGUUUAUGCACAGUUAAAUCUUGCUUGCUUGAAAAAAACGCUGUGCUGUUUUUCUUUAAUAUAAUUGACAUUUGAUACGAUGUUUUUCUGUCUGAUGCAGACAAUAAGUGUAAUUAAUAGCGUCUAAGCAGUUUUGGGCCACUGUAUAUGAUUUCGAUGGAAGCUCAUAGACCCGACAUCAAAACAGGCCAAAUUAAAGUUUACCUUCCAUGCAAUGUCUAACCUCUUUCAAGAACAGUUUUUUUUUUUUAAUUAAUUUUUUUAUUAAUAAUAGUUUGCUAUUAUUAAUUGAGAAAUUAUUUACUGGUUACAGUUCUGCGAUGGAGUUUACAGAUGAAGAGAAAAUAUGGCUGCAAAGAGUGUCUGCUGAAAUACCUGAAGGAAAUGAACUCACUCUAAAAGAGAAGCAAUUACAGGAGAAAGCUAAGCCAGAGACUGAAUUUCAAGCCCAUCUCUUCCAAACUAUGGCCUCCAUACGAUUUGGACUGAAUGAUAUAAUAACCUCAACAAUAGAGGUGAAAAACUGUCCAGCAGAGGAGCAGCAUCUCAUCACAAUGUGGAUAAACAUCAAAUACCAAGAAGACGUCGCGUCUGCUUUUUCUUCUUGGUUAUAUAA
Molecule: long non-coding RNA, 907 nt
Organism: Carassius carassius (crucian carp)
Lineage: Eukaryota; Metazoa; Chordata; Actinopteri; Cypriniformes; Cyprinidae
Exons: 2
Source: RefSeq, a predicted model, not a curated record